GUCUGGGGGCCAUGCCACCCUGGACGUGCCCGAGAUCUCGUCUAAUCUCGGAGCUAGGCGGGGUCGGACCAGGUUAGUACUUGGAUGGGAGGCCGCCUGGGAAUACCGGGGGCUGCAGGCU
Molecule: ribosomal RNA, 121 nt
Filed under: Carlito syrichta (Philippine tarsier)
Lineage: Eukaryota; Metazoa; Chordata; Mammalia; Primates; Tarsiidae
Source: RNAcentral